This 253-nucleotide ribosomal RNA is filed under the name uncultured bacterium. Its description in RNAcentral is "partial 16S ribosomal RNA". It matches the Rfam family "Bacterial small subunit ribosomal RNA", at positions 524 to 776 of the family's 1533-position model. The record is from RNAcentral.
UACGUAGGGGGCGAGCGUUGUCCGGAUUUAUUGGGCGUAAAGAGCGUGUAGGCGGCUUUACAGGUCCGUUGUGAAAACUCGAGGCUCAACCUCGAGACGCCGGUGGAAACCGUAAAGCUAGAGUCCGGAAGAGGAGAGUGGAAUUCCUGGUGUAGCGGUGAAAUGCGCAGAUAUCAGGAAGAACACCCGUGGCGAAGGCGGCUCUCUGGUACGGAACUGACGCUGAGACGCGAAAGCGUGGGGAGCGAACAGG